Molecule: long non-coding RNA, 734 nt
Organism: Beta vulgaris subsp. vulgaris (sugar beet)
Lineage: Eukaryota; Viridiplantae; Streptophyta; Magnoliopsida; Caryophyllales; Amaranthaceae
Exons: 2
Source: RefSeq, a predicted model, not a curated record
CAACGCACCUCUCUAAUGUGCGACGCAUAUUAAGACUACCAUUUUAUUUCAGGAGGCCCACUACUUCAAAAACCCUAGCUCACACGCCUCUCCCUCCCCUCAAUGCUCAGCGCCCCUCUCUCUCUCUCUUCAAACGCCCCUCUAUCUCUCUCUCUUCAAACGCCCCUCAAUUCUCAACGUCUUUUAGGAAUUCUCAGCGCCUCCCUCUCUCUCUUCGUUGUUUCGUCGAACACCUCCUCCCUCUCUCUCUCUUCGUUGUAGCAGUCGUUUUGUAGAAAAACCGCGUCGAACACGCUCAUUUCCGUCGAACCGCGUCGAACACCGCGCCUAUGUGCGUCGUUUUGUUGUUCCAUCUUUUAGGUUCAUCGUCUUUUAGGAAUUUUCGUCGAACACCGCCUGCAAACACCAACAUCAGAUUCGAAGAAGAGCAGCGAUAAAAAUUGAAAAACCACCAACCCUUUCUCAGAUCUAACGUUCUCAGAUCUGGUUUUUAGCGAUUUGAAGAAAGAGAUUUGAAGAACGAGAUUGAAGAAAGAGAUUUGAAGAACGAGAUUAAAAAACGAGAUUUGGUUUUUGGCGAAUUUGUUCGUUCCAUUUCGCGAUUUGUAAUUUUUUUAAAAUAUAUUUAGUGAAAUUUCUGUUUGUUAGAUCUGGUUUUUUUUAUGUUUAGUUUUUUAAUUUCGUUUUUUUUUUUGUAUGUUAGAUCUGAAUUUUUUAUUUUUGUUAUUUGUUAG